AUGCAGCAUAACCAUAUUAUUUCUGGAUGGAAUUGAAAUUGUACUUCUGGGGAUGCAUGAUAUAUCAAUUUUGCCAUUGGAAUCGGCUCUUAUUAAUUAUUUUUUUUCAUGCAUUGGUGUUUUUUGGCCCUAUAUUUGCAAUGCACUAAAAGGCAUCUCUUUAAAAUCUGUAAAUAUAAAUAUUGGUGUGUUGUGGCCUUGUGCUUUCAAAAAUAGGAAAGCAUUCAAUAAACAUGUUUGAGCUCAUUUUUGGAAAAGUUAACAUAAUGAUAUUGUAACUGUAGGUCCAUGAGCCACCACCCAACUGUCCCCACCAACUUUCAUCACAAAGUUACGCCCAGCCUUGGAAGCCCAGCAGGAAAAAAAAAAGUUUCCUCCUUUUCAGAAACCCAAAUCUGGUCACCACAAAUUUUAAGCUGUAAAAUAGGUUGUAGCAGUGCAGUUAAAUGUUUGUUUUUUCAUCCUCCUUUGCAGCAAAUAACCUUAAAGACCUUGAAAAAAUCCCUUUAACAAUAGAGGGCUCUGAGAAUAAUUCAAUCAUCUCUGCAGCACAGAUUUAAUAUAUUAGAUUACAGCAGAUGGUUAGAAAAGGUGGAUGUUAGGAGUUUAUUAUGUGAUCAAAAGCUAACACAGCUCUUUGUGUCUGUAUGAUGGGUCUCUGCAGCUUAUUUCAACCCUUUGGACUGCUCCAAACUGCUGACCACAGAUCAGUACGACCAGAUCCGCGUUUACUCGUCCUCUGACUGGUCAAAGCCUCAGCACAUCAUCCAGCAUCCGCACAGACAGUUUCAGCACCUUACACCCAUUAAGGCUACAUGGCAUCCCCUUUAUGACCUCAUCGUUGCGGGGCGCUAUCCUGAUGACCGCAUCUGUGCCGGAGACCAGAGGACCAUUGACAUCUUUGAUGCUAACAGCGGGGAGCUGGUGUUUCAGAUGUAUGAUUCCACCGCUGCAGGGAUCAAAUCUGUCAACAAGUUCAGUCCUAUGGGUGAUGUCAUCGGCUCUGGAAUGGGUGAGCUGUUUAAGCCAUUCAUUGGUUCACUUAGUGGAGCUGAAUCACAUCAGGGAACUGUGAAAAUUUUUAUAAUCUUUUAACUU
Molecule: long non-coding RNA, 1098 nt
Organism: Cyprinodon variegatus (sheepshead minnow)
Lineage: Eukaryota; Metazoa; Chordata; Actinopteri; Cyprinodontiformes; Cyprinodontidae
Exons: 3
Source: RefSeq, a predicted model, not a curated record